ACUUCUGUGAUGAGUUAACAGCAUGACUUUCGUUCUUCUGAGUCUCCUGAAGCCAAUCAUCUGUUCUGAGAAGA
Small nucleolar RNA from Astyanax mexicanus (Mexican tetra), 74 nucleotides. NCBI's taxonomy places the organism in Eukaryota, Metazoa, Chordata, Actinopteri, Characiformes, Acestrorhamphidae. The record is from Ensembl.